AGCGAACGCUGGCGGCAGGCUUAACACAUGCAAGUCGAACGGGCGUAGCAAUACGUCAGUGGCAGACGGGUGAGUAACGCGUGGGAACGUACCUUUUGGUUCGGAACAACCCAGGGAAACUUGGGCUAAUACCGGAUAAGCCCUUACGGGGAAAGAUUUAUCGCCGAAAGAUCGGCCCGCGUCUGAUUAGCUUGUUGGUGAGGUAACGGCUCACCAAGGCGACGAUCAGUAGCUGGUCUGAGAGGAUGAUCAGCCACAUUGGGACUGAGACACGGCCCAAACUCCUACGGGAGGCAGCAGUGGGGAAUAUUGGACAAUGGGCGCAAGCCUGAUCCAGCCAUGCCGCGUGAGUGAUGAAGGCCCUAGGGUUGUAAAGCUCUUUGUGCGGAAGAUAAUGACGGUACCGCAAGAAUAAGCCCCGGCUAACUUCGUGCCAGCAGCCGCGGUAACACUUG
RNAcentral lists this ribosomal RNA (455 nucleotides) under uncultured bacterium. RNAcentral's name for it is "bacterial SSU rRNA". It matches the Rfam family "Bacterial small subunit ribosomal RNA", at positions 29 to 529 of the family's 1533-position model. The record is from RNAcentral.